CUACGGGAGGCAGCAGUGGGGAAUAUUGGACAAUGGGGGAAACCCUGAUCCAGCAAUGCCGCGUGUGCGAUGAAGGCCUGCGGGUUGUAAAGCACUUUCGGUGGGGAAGAAAUGCUCAAAUAUAAUACAUUUGAGAGCUGACGUUACCCACAGAAGAAGCACCGGCAAACUCUGUGCCAGCAGCCGCGGUAAUACAGAGGGUGCAAGCGUUAAUCGGAGUUACUGGGCGUAAAGGGCGCGUAGGCUGAUGCUUAAGUCGGUUGUGAAAUCCCUGGGCUUAACCUAGGAAUUGCAGUCGAUACUGGGCGUCUAGAGUAUGGUAGAGGAAAGUGGAAUUUUCGGUGUAGUGGUUAAAUACGUAGAUAUCGAAAAGAACGCCAGUGGCGAAGGCGACUUUCUGGACCAAUACUGACGCUGAGGCGCGAAAGCAUGGGGAGCAAACAGGAUUAGAUACCCCUGUAGUC
Molecule: ribosomal RNA, 464 nt
Filed under: uncultured bacterium
Lineage: Bacteria
Description: partial 16S ribosomal RNA
Rfam family: Bacterial small subunit ribosomal RNA
Source: RNAcentral